This 640-nucleotide long non-coding RNA is filed under the name Musa acuminata (dwarf banana). Its description in RNAcentral is "long non-coding RNA (MACU_LNC005518)". The record is from RNAcentral. Lineage: Eukaryota; Viridiplantae; Streptophyta; Magnoliopsida; Zingiberales; Musaceae.
UGAACGCACCAUUGGUUCUGCCAUCAAUGGCUCUUCCUCCCCCAAGGAAGUCAUCCAAGCUUCUUUUCAGGCGGCCAUUGACGAAAUCCAAGCUGCCUUCCACCUGUCCAACAACGUAAGUUUGAAGGCGAAUGACCCGAUGAACAAGGCUGCGUUCAACAUUUGCCGGCAGCUCCUCGAGGAUGCCGAUGAGGAGCUCAAUGCUGCCUUCUCGGAGACUCAUGACCUUCAGGGUCUGGCGAGGAGGACCGAUGACAUCAAGACAUGGCUCUCGGCCGUCAUCUCCUACCAGCAGACCUGUCUCGAUGGCAUCACCGAACCGGAGCUCCAGUCCACCAUGAAGGACGGUCUAAGCACGGCCACAAAGGUCACCAGCAAUGCCAUUGCCAUUGUCGAUGAGCUUAGUUCAUUAUUAAAGUCCUUCAAGAUCCCGAUUAACAUAACCAUGGGCAGUCGACGCUUACUGGUCGAUGAGCAAGGGUACCCUUCGUGGUUCUCGGGCCAUGACAGGAAGCUCCUGGCUGCCCAAGCGCGAGGCCAGCUGACCCCUAAUGUGGUGGUUGCUAAGGAUGGGAGUGGAAAGUUCAAGACGAUCAACGAUGCCGUUAAUGCCAUGCCAAAGGAUUACUCUGGGCGGUAC